UGCAUGCAUGACUGUAUGUCGUUUUGGUUAAAAGCGUCUGCUAAAUGGAAUAUA
This is a non-coding RNA of Salmo salar (Atlantic salmon), 54 nucleotides long. NCBI's taxonomy places the organism in Eukaryota, Metazoa, Chordata, Actinopteri, Salmoniformes, Salmonidae. The record is from Rfam.